CCUACGGGAGGCUGCAGUAGGGAAUCUUCCACAAUGGACGAAAGUCUGAUGGAGCAACGCCGCGUGAGUGAAGAAGGGUUUCGGCUCGUAAAGCUCUGUUGGUAGUGAAGAAAGAUAGAGGUAGUAACUGGCCUUUAUUUGACGGUAAUUACUUAGAAAGUCACGGCUAACUACGUGCCAGCCGCCGCGGUAAUACGUAGGUGGCAAGCGUUGUCCGGAUUUAUUGGGCGUAAAGCGAGUGCAGGCGGUUCAAUAAGUCUGAUGUGAAAGCCUUCGGCUCAACCGGAGAAUUGCAUCAGAAAAUGUUGAAAUGGAGUGCAGAAGAGGAGAGUGGAACUCCAUGUGUAGCGGUGGAAGGCGUAGAUAUAUGGAAGAACACCAGUGGCGAAGGCGGCUCUCUGGUCUGCAACUGACGCUGAGGCUCGAAAGCAUGGGUAGCGAACAGGAUUAGAUACCCCAGUAGUC
RNAcentral lists this ribosomal RNA (465 nucleotides) under uncultured bacterium. RNAcentral describes it as "partial 16S ribosomal RNA". It matches the Rfam family "Bacterial small subunit ribosomal RNA", at positions 338 to 795 of the family's 1533-position model. The record is from RNAcentral.